UACGUAGGGUGCGAGCGUUGUCCGGAAUUAUUGGGCGUAAAGAGCUCGUAGGCGGUCUGUCGCGUCGAUCGUGAAAACUUGGGGCUUAACCCUGAGCUUGCGGUCGAUACGGGCAUGACUGGAGUUCGGCAGGGGAGACUGGAAUUCCUGGUGUAGCGGUGAAAUGCGCAGAUAUCAGGAGGAACACCGGUGGCGAAGGCGGGUCUCUGGGCCGAGAUUGACGCUGAGGCGCGAAAGCCAGGGGAGCAAACGGG
Molecule: ribosomal RNA, 254 nt
Filed under: uncultured bacterium
Lineage: Bacteria
Description: partial 16S ribosomal RNA
Rfam family: Bacterial small subunit ribosomal RNA
Source: RNAcentral